Molecule: ribosomal RNA, 1511 nt
Filed under: human gut metagenome
Description: bacterial LSU rRNA
Rfam family: Bacterial large subunit ribosomal RNA
Source: RNAcentral
AGGGAAACCGAGUCUUAACUGGGCGUUAAGUUGCAGGGUAUAGACCCGAAACCCGGUGAUCUAGCCAUGGGCAGGUUGAAGGUUGGGUAACACUAACUGGAGGACCGAACCGACUAAUGUUGAAAAAUUAGCGGAUGACUUGUGGCUGGGGGUGAAAGGCCAAUCAAACCGGGAGAUAGCUGGUUCUCCCCGAAAGCUAUUUAGGUAGCGCCUCGUGAAUUCAUCUCCGGGGGUAGAGCACUGUUUCGGCAAGGGGGUCAUCCCGACUUACCAACCCGAUGCAAACUGCGAAUACCGGAGAAUGUUAUCACGGGAGACACACGGCGGGUGCUAACGUCCGUCGUGAAGAGGGAAACAACCCAGACCGCCAGCUAAGGUCCCAAAGUCAUGGUUAAGUGGGAAACGAUGUGGGAAGGCCCAGACAGCCAGGAUGUUGGCUUAGAAGCAGCCAUCAUUUAAAGAAAGCGUAAUAGCUCACUGGUCGAGUCGGCCUGCGCGGAAGAUGUAACGGGGCUAAACCAUGCACCGAAGCUGCGGCAGCGACACUAUGUGUUGUUGGGUAGGGGAGCGUUCUGUAAGCCUGUGAAGGUGGCCUGUGAGGGUUGCUGGAGGUAUCAGAAGUGCGAAUGCUGACAUAAGUAACGAUAAAGCGGGUGAAAAGCCCGCUCGCCGGAAGACCAAGGGUUCCUGUCCAACGUUAAUCGGGGCAGGGUGAGUCGACCCCUAAGGCGAGGCCGAAAGGCGUAGUCGAUGGGAAACAGGUUAAUAUUCCUGUACUUGGUGUUACUGCGAAGGGGGGACGGAGAAGGCUAUGUUGGCCGGGCGACGGUUGUCCCGGUUUAAGCGUGUAGGCUGGUUUUCCAGGCAAAUCCGGAAAACCAAGGCUGAGGCGUGAUGACGAGGCACUACGGUGCUGAAGCGACAAAUGCCCUGCUUCCAGGAAAAGCCUCUAAGCAUCAGGUAACAUCAAAUCGUACCCAAAACCGACACAGGUGGUCAGGUAGAGAAUACCAAGGCGCUUGAGAGAACUCGGGUGAAGGAACUAGGCAAAAUGGUGCCGUAACUUCGGGAGAAGGCACGCUGAUAUGUAGGUGAAGCGACUUGCUCGUGGAGCUGAAAUCAGUCGAAGAUACCAGCUGGCUGCAACUGUUUAUUAAAAACACAGCACUGUGCAAACACGAAAGUGGACGUAUACGGUGUGACGCCUGCCCGGUGCCGGAAGGUUAAUUGAUGGGGUUAGCGGUAACGCGAAGCUCUUGAUCGAAGCCCCGGUAAACGGCGGCCGUAACUAUAACGGUCCUAAGGUAGCGAAAUUCCUUGUCGGGUAAGUUCCGACCUGCACGAAUGGCGUAAUGAUGGCCAGGCUGUCUCCACCCGAGACUCAGUGAAAUUGAACUCGCUGUGAAGAUGCAGUGUACCCGCGGCAAGACGGAAAGACCCCGUGAACCUUUACUAUAGCUUGACACUGAACAUUGAGCCUUGAUGUGUAGGAUAGGUGGGAGGCUUUGAAG